GGCUGUUCCCUAUGUCCUCGAUGCCAUAGAAGGCUGUUCCUAUGUCCUCAAUACCAUAGAAGGCUGUUCCCAUGUCCUCAAUGCCAUAGAAGGCUGUCCCUAUGUCCUCAAUACCAUAGAAGGAUGUUCCUAUGUCCUCGAUGCCAUAGAAGGCUGUUCCCUAUGUCCUCGAUGCCAUAGAAGGCUGUUCCCUACGUCCUCGAUGCCAUAGAAGGAUGUUCCUAUGUCCUCGAUGCCAUAGAAGGCUGUUCCCUAUGUCCUCGAUGCCAUAGAAGGAUGUUCCUAUGUCCUCGAUGCCAUAGAAGGAUACCGUAUCAAAGGGGCUCUGGAGUUGGCUUCAUAUCCAACAGAUAAUUAGUCUUGAUGAGUCAUUAGAGCUCGAUAUUGAGUCAGAUCAUUAUCCUUCCUCUCAUUAUCCCUCCUCUCAUUAUCCCUCCUCUCAUUAUCCCUCCUCUCAUCUCUCCAUCACCUCACACAUUAUAUAUCCCUCCUCUCAUUAUCCCUCCUCUCAUUAUCCCUCUCAUUAUCCCUCCUCUCAUUAUCCCCCUCUCUCUCUCUCUCUCUCUCUCUCCAUCCAUCUCUCUCUCUCUCUCUCUCUCUCCAUCCCCCCUCUCUCUCUCUCCAUCCAUCCCCCCUCUCUCUCUCUUCAUCCAUCCCCCUCUCGCUCUCUCUCUCCAUGAUCUGUCUGUAACCUGCCAGGUGAUCUGUCUGUAACCUGUCAGGUGGUCUGAUGCUGUCAGGUUAUCUGUCUGUAACCUGUCAGGUGAUCUGUCUGUAACCUGGCAGGUGAUCUGUCUGUAACCUGC
This 806-nucleotide long non-coding RNA is filed under the name Salmo salar (Atlantic salmon). Its description in RNAcentral is "lncRNA (ENSSSAG00000107814.1)". Lineage: Eukaryota; Metazoa; Chordata; Actinopteri; Salmoniformes; Salmonidae. The record is from RNAcentral.